This 1026-nucleotide ribosomal RNA is filed under the name uncultured Flavobacterium sp. RNAcentral's name for it is "bacterial SSU rRNA". It matches the Rfam family "Bacterial small subunit ribosomal RNA", at positions 223 to 1254 of the family's 1533-position model. The record is from RNAcentral. Lineage: Bacteria; Pseudomonadati; Bacteroidota; Flavobacteriia; Flavobacteriales; Flavobacteriaceae.
AGAUGAGCAUGCGUCCCAUUAGCUAGUUGGUAAGGUAACGGCUUACCAAGGCAACGAUGGGUAGGGGUCCUGAGAGGGAGAUCCCCCACACUGGUACUGAGACACGGACCAGACUCCUACGGGAGGCAGCAGUGAGGAAUAUUGGUCAAUGGGCGCAAGCCUGAACCAGCCAUGCCGCGUGCAGGAUGACGGUCCUAUGGAUUGUAAACUGCUUUUGCACAGGAAGAAACACUCGGUCGUGACCGAGCUUGACGGUACUGUGAGAAUAAGGAUCGGCUAACUCCGUGCCAGCAGCCGCGGUAAUACGGAGGAUCCAAGCGUUAUCCGGAAUCAUUGGGUUUAAAGGGUCCGUAGGCGGCCAGAUAAGUCAGUGGUGAAAGCCCAUCGCUCAACGGUGGAACGGCCAUUGAUACUGUUUGGCUUGAAUUAUUUGGAAGUAACUAGAAUAUGUAGUGUAGCGGUGAAAUGCUUAGAGAUUACAUGGAAUACCAAUUGCGAAGGCAGGUUACUACAAAUUGAUUGACGCUGAUGGACGAAAGCGUGGGUAGCGAACAGGAUUAGAUACCCUGGUAGUCCACGCCGUAAACGAUGGAUACUAGCUGUUGGGAGCAAUCUCAGUGGCUAAGCGAAAGUGAUAAGUAUCCCACCUGGGGAGUACGUUCGCAAGAAUGAAACUCAAAGGAAUUGACGGGGGCCCGCACAAGCGGUGGAGCAUGUGGUUUAAUUCGAUGAUACGCGAGGAACCUUACCAAGGCUUAAAUGUAGAUUGACCGGUUUGGAAACAGACUUUUCGCAAGACAAUUUACAAGGUGCUGCAUGGUUGUCGUCAGCUCGUGCCGUGAGGUGUCAGGUUAAGUCCUAUAACGAGCGCAACCCCUGUUGUUAGUUGCCAGCGAGUCAUGUCGGGAACUCUAGCAAGACUGCCAGUGUAAACUGUGAGGAAGGUGGGGAUGACGUCAAAUCAUCACGGCCCUUACGCCUUGGGCUACACACGUGCUACAAUGGCCGGUACAGAGAGCAGCCACU